GAUGAAGAACGCAGCGAAUUGCGAUAAGUAAUGUGAAUUGCAGAUUUUCAGUGAAUCAUCGAAUCUUUGAACGCACAUUGCGCCCCCUGGUAUUCCGGGGGGCAUGCCUGUCCGAGCGUCAUUACAACCCUCAAGCUCAGCUUGGUGUUGGGCCCCGCCGCCCCGGCGGGCCCUAAAGUCAGUGGCGGUGCCGUCCGGCUCCGAGCGUAGUAAUUCUUCUCGCUCUGGAGGUCCGGUCGUGUGCUCGCCAGCAACCCCCAAUUUUUUUCAGGUUGACCUCGGAUCAGGUAGGGAUACCCGCUGAACUUAAGCAUAUCAAUAAGCGGAGGA
This 330-nucleotide unclassified non-coding RNA is filed under the name soil metagenome. RNAcentral's name for it is "partial contains 5.8S ribosomal RNA, internal transcribed spacer 2, and large subunit ribosomal RNA". The stretch from base 1 to 121 matches the Rfam family "5.8S ribosomal RNA", at positions 35 to 154 of the family's 154-position model. The record is from RNAcentral.